GACGAACGCUGGCGGCGUGCUUAACACAUGCAAGUCGAACGGCAAGGCCCUGCUUUUGUGGGGUGCUCGAGUGGCGAACGGGUGAGUAACACGUGAGUAACCUGCCCUUGACUUUGGGAUAACUUCAGGAAACUGGGGCUAAUACCGGAUAGGAGCUCCUGCUGCAUGGUGGGGGUUGGAAAGUUUCGGCGGUUGGGGAUGGACUCGCGGCUUAUCAGCUUGUUGGUGGGGUAGUGGCUUACCAAGGCUUUGACGGGUAGCCGGCCUGAGAGGGUGACCGGCCACAUUGGGACUGAGAUACGGCCCAGACUACUACGGGAGGCAGCAGUGGGGAAUAUUGCACAAUGGGCGGAAGCCUGAUGCAGCAACGCCGCGUGCUGGAUGACGGCCUUCGGGUUGUAAACCGCUUUCGCCUGUGACGAAGCGUGAGUGACGGUAAUGGGUAAAGAAGCACCGGCUAACUACGUG
RNAcentral lists this ribosomal RNA (468 nucleotides) under uncultured bacterium. RNAcentral describes it as "partial 16S ribosomal RNA". It matches the Rfam family "Bacterial small subunit ribosomal RNA", at positions 28 to 507 of the family's 1533-position model. The record is from RNAcentral.